RNAcentral lists this ribosomal RNA (856 nucleotides) under uncultured bacterium. RNAcentral describes it as "bacterial SSU rRNA". It matches the Rfam family "Bacterial small subunit ribosomal RNA", at positions 8 to 872 of the family's 1533-position model. The record is from RNAcentral.
AGAGUUUGAUCCUGGCUCAGGACGAACGCUGGCGGCGUGCUUAACACAUGCAAGUCGAACGAUGACAGGGGAGCUUGCUCCCCUCGAUUAGUGGCGAACGGGUGAGUAACACGUGAGUAACCUGCCCUUGACUCUGGGAUAAGCACUGGAAACGGUGUCUAAUACCGGAUACGACCUUCGGAGGCAUCUCCUGAAGGUGGAAAGAAUUUCGGUCAAGGAUGGACUCGCGGCCUAUCAGCUUGUUGGUGAGGUAAUGGCUCACCAAGGCGACGACGGGUAGCCGGCCUGAGAGGGUGACCGGCCACAUUGGGACUGAGACACGGCCCAAACUCCUACGGGAGGCAGCAGUGGGGAAUAUUGCACAAUGGGCGAAAGCCUGAUGCAGCAACGCCGCGUGAGGGACGACGGCCUUCGGGUUGUAAACCUCUUUUAGUAGGGAAGAAGCGAAAGUGACGGUACCUGCAGAAAAAGCACCGGCUAACUACGUGCCAGCAGCCGCGGUAAUACGUAGGGUGCAAGCGUUGUCCGGAAUUAUUGGGCGUAAAGAGCUCGUAGGCGGUUUGUCGCGUCUGCUGUGAAAACUGGAGGCUCAACCUCCAGCCUGCAGUGGGUACGGGCAGACUAGAGUGCGGUAGGGGAGAUUGGAAUUCCUGGUGUAGCGGUGGAAUGCGCAGAUAUCAGGAGGAACACCAAUGGCGAAGGCAGAUCUCUGGGCCGUAACUGACGCUGAGGAGCGAAAGCAUGGGGAGCGAACAGGAUUAGAUACCCUGGUAGUCCAUGCCGUAAACGUUGGGCGCUAGAUGUAGGGACCAUUCCACGGUUUCUGUGUCGCAAGCUAACGCAUUAAGCGCCCCGC